Molecule: ribosomal RNA, 549 nt
Filed under: uncultured bacterium
Lineage: Bacteria
Description: bacterial SSU rRNA
Rfam family: Bacterial small subunit ribosomal RNA
Source: RNAcentral
UGGGGAAUAUUGGACAAUGGGCGAAAGCCUGAUCCAGCCAUGCCGCGUGUGUGAAGAAGGCCUUUUGGUUGUAAAGCACUUUAAGUGGGGAGGAAAAGCUUAUGGUUAAUACCCAUAAGCCCUGACGUUACCCACAGAAUAAGCACCGGCUAACUCUGUGCCAGCAGCCGCGGUAAUACAGAGGGUGCAAGCGUUAAUCGGAAUUACUGGGCGUAAAGCGCGCGUAGGUGGUUAUUUAAGUCAGAUGUGAAAGCCCCGGGCUUAACCUGGGAACUGCAUCUGAUACUGGAUAACUAGAGUAGGUGAGAGGGGAGUAGAAUUCCAGGUGUAGCGGUGAAAUGCGUAGAGAUCUGGAGGAAUACCGAUGGCGAAGGCAGCUCCCUGGCAUCAUACUGACACUGAGGUGCGAAAGCGUGGGUAGCAAACAGGAUUAGAUACCCUGGUAGUCCGCGCCGUAAACGAUGUCUACCAGUCGUUGGGUCUUUUAAAGACUUAGUGACGCAGUUAACGCAAUAAGUAGACCGCCUGGGGAGUACGGCCGCAAGGUUA